CAGAGUUGAUCCUGGCUCAGGAUGAACGCUAGCUACAGGCUUAACACAUGCAAGUCGAGGGGAAACGACAUCGAAAGCUUGCUUUUGAUGGGCGUCGACCGGCGCACGGGUGAGUAACGCGUAUCCAACCUGCCCACCACUUGGGGAUAACCUUGCGAAAGUAAGACUAAUACCCAAUGACGUCUCUAGAAGACAUCUGAAGGAGAUUAAAGAUUUAUCGGUGAUGGAUGGGGAUGCGUCUGAUUAGCUUGUUGGCGGGGUAACGGCCACCAAGGCGACGAUCAGUAGGGGUUCUGAGAGGAAGGUCCCCCACAUUGGAACUGAGACACGGUCCAAAACUCCUACGGGAGGCA
RNAcentral lists this ribosomal RNA (353 nucleotides) under uncultured bacterium. RNAcentral describes it as "bacterial SSU rRNA". It matches the Rfam family "Bacterial small subunit ribosomal RNA", at positions 8 to 350 of the family's 1533-position model. The record is from RNAcentral.